UACGAAGGAUGCGAGCGUUAUCCGGAUUUAUUGGGUUUAAAGGGAGCGUAGGCGGUCUUAUAAGUCAGUGGUGAAAUCUCGAUGCUUAACAUCGAACGUGCCAUUGAUACUGUAGGACUUGAGUACAGUUGCCGUUGGCGGAAUGUGUCAUGUAGCGGUGAAAUGCAUAGAUAUGACACAGAACACCGAUUGCGAAGGCAGCUGACGAAACUGUAACUGACGCUGAGGCUCGAAAGCGUGGGUAGCAAACAGG
Molecule: ribosomal RNA, 253 nt
Filed under: uncultured bacterium
Lineage: Bacteria
Description: partial 16S ribosomal RNA
Rfam family: Bacterial small subunit ribosomal RNA
Source: RNAcentral